GAAUGUGAGAGAGAGAAAAGAAGAGAGAAAAGCUUCAUUUUCUACUUCCAUUUUUGCUUGGAUCUUGAAGUUGUACCAUAAAACUAACAAUCUACUCCAUAAAAAGUGGUACUCAAGGAAGAUUGAAAGUCUUGGUGGAGAGAUUUUGGAGUGUUAAGCUAAGAUUUGCUAUCUUCAAGACGGUGAUCAAGGUAUGGGUUUCAAGAAGCUAUAUUUACCUUAGAUACACGUUUAUAAGUGAUUUUUAGGUUUGAUUAUGGUGAUUUUCAUGACUUGUUAGUUGAUUUGAGUGGUGAAAUGAAAUUUUCAACUUUGGUAAUGAGAUUUCCAAUUUUAUAUUAUUGCUUUAAGUUGAAUCUUGCUUUAUUAGCUUUGCUAAGUGGAUAUACUAGUUUGUAUAUGUUGAUUUGGCUAAAAAUAUGAGGAAUUCCAGCUUUGAUGAGUAGUUUUAGGGUUGAUAUGCAAAAUUCCAGCAUUUGGUGGUGAAUUUCAAUCAAUUUCCUGAGCUUUCCGGUAGUUGUAGGAGAUGAACUAGAACCUAAUUUUUAUACCGUUGGAAACCUCUAUGAAUCUAGUUUUAAACACCGCUGACGGAGCUCAAUUUUGAUUUUUCUACACCAAGUUUUAAUCAUUUUACCAAAACUGUUCAGUUAUCCUAUUUUGGCUCCGACAGAAUUUUUAUGUCUCUGUUUUUGCCAAUUUUGACCCUGGUAACGUUUGAACUGGGGUUUGAUGCCUUCAUAAAAGUUGUAGGCCUCUGUCUUAGCUUCGAAAUGCCAUCAAAUUUAUCUCGAUUCGAUAUACCUAACUACAGUUAUGACCAAAAUACCGAAGGAUGACAAAUCUGCCACUUAUAAUUUCUUCUUUAAACUGGUUUCCAGCUUUGAUAUCCAUGGUGAUAAGUUUAUUAUUUGGUUAGUUUGGUUGGUUUUGAGGCCUUGAAUAGAUGUAUGUUGUUGGUUAUCACUUGUGGUUGGAUUGGAGGUUUGUUGGCUUGUGAAUCCAAGUUGUACUUGGAUGGGAAAAGUAAGAAAAUAGAGGAAAUGCUGCCCAAAUUUCUAUUACUUGCUUUUAUGUAUAUUAGUGAGAUAUAAGGUUUGAUUUUGGGUUAGUUGGAUCUUAAGUUACAUAUGUAUCCUUGAAUGCACUUCAAUAGUAGUAUAUGAGUUAUUUUUUUAUCAAGAUUUGGUAUCAACUAAGAUGAAAAGUGUUAGUUUUAUCUCGAAAAUUUUGAAUUACAUUUGCUCACUUUAAUUUGGGAUUGGUUGUUCUUUCAACUACUGAUUUCUGGAAUUUUCUUUGGUUAUAUUUGAAUUUGAGAAAUGACUCAAGAUUUUUCAUGACUUGAAAGUUCAAAUGUUAUUAUUCACUCUAAAACUAUAUUUUCAUAUUUACACUAGUACUUUCUGGAUUUUUUAUGGUUCAUCUAGAUUUUGAUUAGUUGAACCAUAAUACCUUAUUUUGACUGAUUUAGGUUUCUUUGGUGAUCCGGAGUACAACUCGGAAGGAAACUUUUGACAUAUCUCUUGCUCAUACUGGUGAGUAUUCCAAUUGCAUGUUACCUGCUUAUUGUUGCUAGAAAUUUACUAAACACCUGAUUUGACAUUUCAUAGGCGAGUGUGUACUUUAUCGCACUUAACUUAACUCAACUAAACCCUUGAUAUCUCAUUCAUGAAUGUACAAGUAACUUGUUUUGCAUGUGACCUAUCUAUUGAUUUGAAAUACUUGAAAUGCUUGGAAAUGUAACAUGCUAGACAUUAUUUGUGACUUGGUCCGGGUUAGGCGAGUGUGCCCUUAUUCGCACUCGUCCUCCCCUUCGUGAAUGAUCUUGUACUUGCUCGAACCUGAUUGACCUGUACUUGUAUUUGUGCUUGUGCUUGACUUAUAAGUGCUGAGCGGCAGCAUGUACUACAUUCAAUCCGAGUAGGAGGUGUCUCUCAUUCUGUCUCCGUACUUUUCUCGAUUAAGUCGAUUGGUCAUUGACUAUACUGACUACUUGGGAAGCCAAACCCCACUGGUUAGUUAAUCGAGUCGAGUCGGCAAGAGGCUGGUCGAUUAGAUAACGAACCAUGGGUCUUUAGUUUUGUUGAGUAGAAUGUUAUCUCCUCGACUAAUUGGUAUGUUCGAGUAUUACCACCAGUGUUUAUCUUGGAGUUUGAGCCUGACAAGGGGUUUGAAUGGUGGGCGGAGAUUGGAGUUAAGUAAUACUCUACUAGACUUGUUAUAAUUUCAUGAUUGACGGAGUGUCAACAGAUUUUGAACAAGUGGCCACGGAACCUGCUCCCAAGAGCAGAUUGUAUCCUUUUACUUGAAAAUCUUGGAUAUCUAUGUGAAGUGUUAUUGCUCAUUUAUAUGAACUCUUAUGCUCGCUACUUGAAUAUUCCAAGUUUUUACAUAUGACCAACUUGCUACUUGGGUCUGCAUGAAGUUUUGAAACUUCACUGAGUUUUGGCUCAUCCUAUUAGUUUUUGUUUUCCUUACAGGGGAAUACGAGCGCGGGUGUGAG
This 2506-nucleotide long non-coding RNA is filed under the name Coffea arabica (coffee). Its description in RNAcentral is "long non-coding RNA (CARA_LNC005702)". The record is from RNAcentral. Lineage: Eukaryota; Viridiplantae; Streptophyta; Magnoliopsida; Gentianales; Rubiaceae.